GAUGAACGCUGGCGGCGUGCCUAAUACAUGCAAGUCGAGCGAACAGACGUGGUACUUGCUCCUCUUACGUUAGCGGCGGACGGGUGAGUAACACGUGGAUAACCUACCUAUAAGACUGGGAUAACUUCUGGAAACCGGAGCUAAUACCGGAUAAUAUCUUUAACCGCAUGGUUCAAUAUUGAAAGACGGUUUUGCUUUCCCUUAUAGAUGGAUCCGCGCCGCAUUAGCUAGUUGGUAAGGUAACGGAUUACCAAGGCAACGAUGCGUAGCCAACCUGAGAGGGGGAUCGGCCACACGGGAACUGAGACACGGUCCAGACUCCUACGGGAGGCAGCAGUAGGGAAUCUUCCGAAAGGGGCGAAAGCCUGACGGAGAAACGCCGCGUGAGUGAGGAAGGUCUUCGGAUCGUAAAACUCUGUUAUAAGGGAAGAACAAAUGUGUAAGUAAAUAUGCACGUAGUGACGGUACCUAAUCAGAAAGCCACGGCUAACUACGUG
This 497-nucleotide ribosomal RNA is filed under the name uncultured bacterium. RNAcentral's name for it is "partial 16S ribosomal RNA". It matches the Rfam family "Bacterial small subunit ribosomal RNA", at positions 28 to 507 of the family's 1533-position model. The record is from RNAcentral.